RNAcentral lists this ribosomal RNA (492 nucleotides) under uncultured bacterium. RNAcentral's name for it is "partial 16S ribosomal RNA". It matches the Rfam family "Bacterial small subunit ribosomal RNA", at positions 29 to 507 of the family's 1533-position model. The record is from RNAcentral.
AGUGAACGCUGGCGGUAGGCCUAACACAUGCAAGUCGAACGGCAGCACAGUAAGAGCUUGCUCUUACGGGUGGCGAGUGGCGGACGGGUGAGGAAUACAUCGGAAUCUACUUUUUCGUGGGGGAUAACGUAGGGAAACUUACGCUAAUAUCGCAUACGACCUACGGGUGAAAGCAGGGGAUCUUCGGACCUUGCGCGAUUGAAUGAGCCGAUGUCGGAUUAGCUAGUUGGCGGGGUAAAGGCCCACCAAGGCGACGAUCCGUAGCUGGUCUGAGAGGAUGAUCAGCCACACUGGAACUGAGACACGGUCCAGACUCCUACGGGAGGCAGCAGUGGGGAAUAUUGGACAAUGGGCGCAAGCCUGAUCCAGCCAGACCGCGUGGGUGAAGAAGGCCUUCGGGUUGUAAAGCCCUUUUGUUGGGAAAGAAAAGCAGCAGGUUAAUACCCCGCUGUUCUGACGGUACCCAAAGAAUAAGCACCGGCUAACUUCGUG